Molecule: ribosomal RNA, 424 nt
Filed under: uncultured bacterium
Lineage: Bacteria
Description: partial 16S ribosomal RNA
Rfam family: Bacterial small subunit ribosomal RNA
Source: RNAcentral
GUGGGGAAUAUUGCACAAUGGAGGAAACUCUGAUGCAGCGACGCCGCGUGAGUGAAGAAGUAGUUCGCUAUGUAAAGCUCUAUCAGCAGGGAAGAUAGUGACGGUACCUGACUAAGAAGCACCGGCUAAAUACGUGCCAGCAGCCGCGGUAAUACGUAUGGUGCAAGCGUUAUCCGGAUUUACUGGGUGUAAAGGGAGCGCAGGCGGUGCGGCAAGUCUGAUGUGAAAGCCCGGGGCUCAACCCCGGUACUGCAUUGGAAACGGUCGUACUAGAGUGUCGGAGGGGUAAGCGGAAUUCCUAGUGUAGCGGUGAAAUGCGUAGAUAUUAGGAGGAACACCAGUGGCGAAGGCGGCUUACUGGACGAUAACUGACGCUGAGGCUCGAAAGCGUGGGGAGCAAACAGGAUUAGAUACCCGAGUAUCC